GUCGAAGUGCAAAACGCCAAAAAGGAGCUGGAAUCAAAACAAGAAGAGUAUAAAAAAUUGCUCGGCGCGAAAAAUCCAGAGUUCGAAAACGAACUUUCCUACAACUAUCGGGCAUUGCAGAUCUUCGAUCUACUGUCGCUUUAUUUUUGCUGCGACGGGUAUGCCUCGGAAAAGAACUUCAAGGAGUAUACGAUUGCGCCGAUCCGGGUUGCUUACGACAGUAACGAAGAGGCUGAGCUGAAGAUUACGCCUAAUGGCGCCGGCUCGGUUAAAAUGACCCCCUACCCUUUUGAUAUGAGUCCGCUGCAGUUCUCUGUCCGCGCGCGGCUCAUGACUCCGACGAAGGGACAAUCCGCCGAAGCCGGCCUCGAG
This 372-nucleotide unclassified non-coding RNA is filed under the name uncultured fungus. RNAcentral describes it as "sequence contains ITS1". The record is from RNAcentral. Lineage: Eukaryota; Fungi.